GACGAACGCUGGCGGCGUGCUUAACACAUGCAAGUCGAGCGAGGCCCCUCCUUCGGGAGGGUGUCCUAGCGGCGAACGGGUGAGUAACACGUGGGCAACCUGCCCUCAGCUCUGGGAUAACUCCGGGAAACCGGGGCUAAUACCGGAUACGACCUCCACGGGCAUCUGCGGAGGUGGAAAGUUUUUCGGCUGAGGAUGGGCCCGCGGCCUAUCAGCUAGUUGGUGGGGUAGUGGCCCACCAAGGCGACGACGGGUAGCCGGCCUGAGAGGGCGACCGGCCACACUGGGACUGAGACACGGCCCAGACUCCUACGGGAGGCAGCAGUGGGGAAUAUUGCGCAAUGGGCGAAAGCCUGACGCAGCGACGCCGCGUGAGGGACGAAGGCCUUCGGGUUGUAAACCUCUUUCAGCAGGGACGAAGCGAAAGUGACGGUACCUGUAGAAGAAGCACCGGCCAACUACGUG
This 465-nucleotide ribosomal RNA is filed under the name uncultured bacterium. RNAcentral's name for it is "partial 16S ribosomal RNA". It matches the Rfam family "Bacterial small subunit ribosomal RNA", at positions 28 to 507 of the family's 1533-position model. The record is from RNAcentral.